RNAcentral lists this ribosomal RNA (646 nucleotides) under uncultured Tomentella. RNAcentral's name for it is "eukaryotic LSU rRNA". The stretch from base 209 to 363 matches the Rfam family "5.8S ribosomal RNA". The record is from RNAcentral. Lineage: Eukaryota; Fungi; Basidiomycota; Agaricomycetes; Thelephorales; Thelephoraceae.
CAUUAUUGAAUUGUCAACAUGGGUUGUUGCUGGUCCUCAGAACGGGGACAUGUGCACACUCUGUUCACACAUCCACUCACACCUGUGCACCCUCUGUAGUUCUGUGGUGUGGGAGACCCUGUCUCCUCGCUGUGGUCCUACUCAUUUACACACACACUCUGUGAUAAAGUCUUAUGGAAUGUACACAGCGUUUAACGCAAUAUAAUACAACUUUCAGCAACGGAUCUCUUGGCUCUCGCAUCGAUGAAGAACGCAGCGAAAUGCGAUAAGUAAUGUGAAUUGCAGAAUUCAGUGAAUCAUCGAAUCUUUGAACGCACCUUGCGCCCUUUGGCUAUUCCGAAGGGCAUGCCUGUUUGAGUAUCAUGAACACCUCAACUCCUCAUGGCUUGCCAUGAUGAGCUUGGACUUUGGAGGCCUUGCUGGCUUGUAGCCAGCUCCUCUCAAAUGAAUCAGCUUACCAGUGUUUGGUGGCAUCACAGGUGUGAUAACUAUCUACGCUUGUGGUGUUCUGCCAGGUGAGACCUUCCAGCAAUGGGGGCCACUGGAGCUCAUAAAUGUCUCUCCUCAGUGGAGACAGCUUUUGAAUGUUUGAUCUCAAAUCAGGUAGGACUACCCGCUGAACUUAAGCAUAUCAAUAAGCGGAGGA